GAGGGAUCAGGAGAGAACGGCCCACACAACAGGCCUCUCUUUGCUUGUGAGAGUCACUCGGGAGGCCUGGGAUCAAACCUGAGUUUCCUUCUUGCGAGCUGGGUCCAUGGAUAUGUCCCUUCUGCUCUCAGGUCCUGGCUUCUCAUGGGUAGCUGUGGGAAGAACUUCUUGGCCUGCUUUGCCGCUGAAGGAGAGCACCAUUCCCUGGGGGCCAUUGGUGGGAUGUGAAGGCCUGGAAGCUGCUCUCAGAGCCCAAGUCCUCGUGGCCUUCAGGAGAGAAGCCAGGGCUCCCUGUCCCUAUUCUUCAUUCAGAAAGCUCAGGCUCCCAGCCAGGAACCUUCUUGGGGCCUGCUCCAUCUUUCCACAUGGCUCCAUUGCAGUUUUCAGUUCCGUGGGGAAAACAACAGCCAUUCCCCCAUAUGUGAGGCCUCUUCCUUUCCUGACGAAAUAGAGACAAGGAUGAGUCAGCCUCUCCCAACCUCCAGGAUCUCCAGUCGUCCAGUGACUCAGAGGAUGGUCUGUUUCGUGGGUAAGUGCUCCUCCCAGGAAGUUGGCAGCCCUAGCCACCCCCUACCUCAGUCACCCCCCC
This 589-nucleotide long non-coding RNA is filed under the name Mustela putorius furo (domestic ferret). RNAcentral's name for it is "lncRNA (ENSMPUG00000024001.1)". Lineage: Eukaryota; Metazoa; Chordata; Mammalia; Carnivora; Mustelidae. The record is from RNAcentral.